This 329-nucleotide ribosomal RNA is filed under the name uncultured eukaryote. RNAcentral describes it as "partial 18S ribosomal RNA". It matches the Rfam family "Eukaryotic small subunit ribosomal RNA", at positions 1470 to 1796 of the family's 1831-position model. The record is from RNAcentral.
CCCUUAGAUGUUCUGGGCCGCACGCGCGCUACACUGACGAAUGCAACGAGCUUAUAACCUUGGCCGAAAGGUCUGGGUAAUCUCCAAAUUUCGUCGUGAUGGGGAUAGAUUAUUGCAAUUAUUAAUCUUCAACGAGGAAUGCCUAGUAAGCGCAAGUCAUAAGCUUGCGCUGACUACGUCCCUGCCCUUUGUACACACCGCCCGUCGCUACUACCGAUUGAAUGAUUUAGUGAGGACUUCGGACUGGGACCGAUGCGGCUUUCGGGCUGCGUCGGUAUUCUGGAAAGAUGUCCAAACUGUAUCAUUUAGAGGAAGUAAAAGUCGUAACA